RNAcentral lists this ribosomal RNA (520 nucleotides) under uncultured Glomus. Its description in RNAcentral is "SSU rRNA". It matches the Rfam family "Eukaryotic small subunit ribosomal RNA", at positions 569 to 1092 of the family's 1831-position model. The record is from RNAcentral. Lineage: Eukaryota; Fungi; Glomeromycota; Glomeromycetes; Glomerales; Glomeraceae.
AGCAGCCGCGGUAAUUCCAGCUCCAAUAGCGUAUAUUAAAGUUGCUGCAGUUAAAAAGCUCGUAGUUGAAUUUCGGGACCAUCAUGUCGGUCGUGCCUCGGUACGUACUGGCAUUGUUGGUUUCUCCCUUCUGACGAACCAUGAUGUCAUUUAUUUGGUGUUGUGGGGAAUCAGGACUGUUACUUUGAAAAAAUUAGAGUGUUUAAAGCAGGCUUACGCUUGAAUACAUUAGCAUGGAAUAAUGAAAUAGGACGUUUGAUUCUAUUUUGUUGGUUUCUAGGAUCGACGUAAUGAUUAAUAGGGAUAGUUGGGGGCAUUAGUAUUCAAUUGUCAGAGGUGAAAUUCUUGGAUUUAUUGAAGACUAACUACUGCGAAAGCAUUUGCCAAGGAUGUUUUCAUUAAUCAAGAACGAAAGUUAGGGGAUCGAAGACGAUCAGAUACCGUCGUAGUCUUAACCAUAAACUAUGCCGACUAGGGAUCGGAUGAUGUUAAUUUUUAAUGACUCAUUCGGCGCCUUAAC